RNAcentral lists this long non-coding RNA (2908 nucleotides) under Salmo salar (Atlantic salmon). RNAcentral describes it as "lncRNA (ENSSSAG00000121539.1)". Lineage: Eukaryota; Metazoa; Chordata; Actinopteri; Salmoniformes; Salmonidae. The record is from RNAcentral.
CUCCCCUUUACCCCCCCCUUCUACCCCCCUUAUCCCUCUUAUGCCUCUCUGCCCUCACCCCCCCCAGCACCCCGGGCAGCCUCAGCAGGGGCCCCAGGUGACGGGAGCUGGGGCGACUGGCACAGGGGGCAGCUCCAAAUCCAAACCUAUCAACCGGAUCAGCACGGUGGUGUGAGCAGCAGAACGUGGGGCCACAGAAGGCAGAGGUCAGAGGGCAGGAUGGAGGAAGGGGGCGGAGCUAGGGACAGGGAUAGAGCCAGGGCUAGUAGAGGUGAGCAGGACAGCAGCAGCAGUAACAACAGCAACAGUGACAAGAAGAAACGCAACUUAUUUCGCCUCUGCUACUUUCACCUCCGCUUCCCACACAUGUAGACCGAGAGAGCAAAGGAAAGAGAGUUGGAGCUGAAUUACCUGAACACAUACAAGACACACAGGCAGAAUAAACACACAUAAAGCAAUGCCCACAUAAAUGUAGGCACACAAAUAUGUUUGGAUAUAGGCAAAUAAGUUUCUCAGGUGAACUCUGUCAGCACACAAACUCAUAAGGGAGAGUCACAGGUAGGAGCAACACACACACACAAAAUCAACAAUUUCUCUAGCCAUAGAACUGAUGCUGGUUAUAAAUGUACAGUAGAGGGCCUGUACCCAGUGUUUCACUGUCUGAAGUAUUAUUGGAAACGCUGGACUUUGCCAAGACAUGAGCUUGAGAGUGUUUUAAACAUAAGUACCAACAUGUAAUUGUGCAACGUUAUGAAUGGGGCAAAUCUGACGAUGAAAACACGCAAGAUUUGGUUCUGGUGUUGUUGAAAUAAGGACAAUGCUGACCAACAGAAAGACCAUCUCCACCCACCUGGAUAUGAAAAAGACUUCACCACUAAAUACAUUCCAGCAGGGUUGUGCAUUGUAAACAGCCAUUGAGGAUAGUUGCAAAAAUAAUCCCCUCGAUUUUGCAAUAAUUUAUUCAGCUUCAUAAUAGGUUUGUCAAUUACCACGGCAGGUCUUCAUCACUGAAAGGUAUCCUUUUUUUAAAGUAGACCUCAGAGACAUUUGCUUUGUCUUCAACUUUUAUGACUCACAGUUCAAUGGCAGUCUUAGGCUCUAUGGUCUUUUACAUGUAAAGAGAAGUCAGCUGGUUUCAUAGGAUUUACAUGCAUUCCCUAUAGGGUGUGUGGAUUAAUGAUGCUACCAAUAAUAUUUUUGAAUGUUUUUAAGCCUUUUUGCUGUUGUAUAAAUGUUACAUAUAUAAUUGCUGAGUAUGAUGAAUAUUGUCUAAUAACAUAACUGUUUUGAUCCAGUGAUUAAUUAGAUAUUACAGAUGUUUGAUUGAUUAAAAAAUGAUUAUACAGAGGAUAUAUACACUUAUUCAUUCCCUCAUACUUGUAUGUAAUGAGGGUGUUAUAAAGUGUGAUUUAUUUUUGUUCUCUAUGAUGGUUGCCAUUGAUAACUUCUAUUAUCAGUUAUUAUUAUUGAAUGUUAAAAAUAUUAGUUCAUAUUUAGGACAAUUUUUGUUCUUAGAGAGUUGUGUACCCUAUAUCUCCCUCCAUUUUGUCUGUUUAUUUUUAGGAGACUGGUGAUUGUGUGAACUAGUAGUUGCACAAUGUCAAAAAGAAAAUGGUUAAUUGGAGUCAAAAUGCAUAUGAAUUAAUAUGCUUUCCCACCUCAGACCCCUCUGAAAGAUCCCCUUAAGGGCUUUGACCAUUUACCUGCUCAUGGACAAUGAUCCUCAUUUCAUUGGUGACCCUGUCGUUUAUGUCCUCCCUGUUAUCCUCCCUGUUAUCUUCCCUGUUAUCCUCCCUGUUAUCAUGGGACUCACUCAGAAGCAUCUGGUCUUGUUGAGAGAGUUUCUCACAUGGCGUGUGUUUGGAUGGUCUAUGUCUUUGAACAAGCACGCUUUGUAAUAUAGUUUUGUGGUUUUGCACACGUGGUGUCUUAAAGUCAAAAAUAGCAUUAUUUUAAACACCCUCCUCACAUACCCCCUUGCCAGUCCUCAGAAGACUAAUAGCCUACGCCCCAGCACCCUUACUGAAUGGGCUUGUCAUUAGAUCAAACAGGUUUGUUAAUCUUCUCAUCUCUGUUGACCACCUUUCUUACUUCCUCUCUCUGUUUUUCUAUUGCACUGUGUUUGAACAAUGGUAGAUUGAACAAGGGAUUAGUGUUUCAGGAUAAAGGGAAUCAUUUAGUUUUAGGAUGGUGAAUUGUAGUUAGACAUGCUAGACAAUACUUGAGGACAAAGAAGAGACAGAUUAAUGUUAAAAGCCAGAACAAGAAUAUGGGUAGUCAGGGAAAAAUGUAAGGUUUUAGGGGUGGUUGAGGUUGAAGUUUUUUUGUUGGCUUUUUCCUGCAUAAUUCCCUCUGUAUUGUCCCUUUGGGACCCCUCUUGCAUGAAUAUAUCUGCACUUAUUGAAUGGAUUGUACUGUAUAAAUCUGAAUGUACAUAUUGAGGUGUGUGUGUGUGUGUGUGUGUGUGUGUGUGUGUGUGUGUGUGUGUGUGUGUGUGUGUGUGUGUGUGUGUGUGUGUGUGUGUGUGUGUGCGCGUGUGCAUGUUUGUGGGAGUGUGCAUGUGUGCGUGUGUGAGAGAGAAAGACGAGUAGGGGACUUUGGUUUGAAUAUUGAAUUAUUUUUAUUUUAGACUGAGGGUGAGAGAAUAAUUUGCAGUAAUUAGGUGUUUGUAUGUCAGAGAACUAAUUGAUAUUAUUUUAAACAUACAGGAAGUAUGAUCUUAAGACUUUAAUUUGUGUAUGUAAUAAGUAUUAACUGGAAGAGUAGAGAAUUGAGAUGUGAAUAUUUAUUGCUUCUGAUAUAUUAAAAAGUGUCCUUGCAGUGAAACAAUCUUCCGUCUUUUAUUGAUGUCUUCAUGACAGAAUAAAUGUCUGCAAAUGUUAUGGACAGCAAAACAUUUUCUUUAUUU